CAAGGGGAAACAAAAGCGUCUGCUGGUACCCACCAGAGCUCCGGUCCGGUUCUCCUGCCAUUUAAAAUUAAAAAGGCGCUCCUGGGACCAAGGACCGGGAAGGGAGCAAUGGGAGACUCACUAGCCAUCGUAUGGACAUUUCUUCAAGCAGCUGAUCAGCACUAUUAGUUUUUUUUCCCAUGGUGGAGAGGUUCUUCUUCACGAGGCAAAUAGGCGGUCUGGGUUCCAUCCAACCCACGACCCUCCUCUCUGGGCCUCCUUGCUGCGGGAAGACUUCUCUUUUGUUCCAAUUUGCGAUCAAUUGCACAUCGGAGAGUGUCGGCAAUGUGGUCUUCAUCUGUAACAAGAGGAGACUAGAGAAUAAGCCUCCCUUUUUAUCUCAUGGUGUCGAUCCGUCUUCAGAUGCGCUUCAACACAUACAAAUCAAGUAUGUUGACGAUGAUGAAGGAAUCAAAAAAUUCUUUGCAGCAUUUCACCUGCAUGAUAACUUUCCAGUAGCAGUUAUCAUUGAUGAUUUUGGAGAUUUCUUCAGUGACAGGAAUUGUCAACAGAGAUAUAGCAAUGCAAGGGGUAGGGAUCUAGCCAUGGUUCGCACUCUGGCUCUAUGCUGGGAUGCUAUAGCACACGCAAACAAAAAAUUGCAACCCAAGGCAUCUUGCAAUCUUCUGGUCGCUGAUACACACCAAGGAGACAGUCCAAGAUUGUUAUUCAUUUACAAGAGAUGGAUUCAAUGCAUCUUUACAAUUCAAGGUGAUGGCUCGGGUUCAUAUAUUUUGAAGAAUAGUUGUAUUUCAGGCAACAGGCAAGAGAAUAUGACAAUUGCCAAAUAUUCCAUAGCGCUUCAGCAUCUGGCAUUGGAAGAGAUUGUUGAACAACAGAAAAAUCAAGAAGUUACAUAAGAUAAAAGCUUACAUUUUAUGAUUAUAGCUGUUAAGAAAGCUCACAGGUUUUCUUCUUUGUGGAAAAUGGAGGCUGAUAAAUUGAUAUUGGAAGAUAUUGGUCUAUACCAGCUGAAUGUAAGAACAUGGAUACAAACCGGGAUCUUGGAUCUCUGCCAAGAUCUGAAUAAUCGAAUACAAGAAUUGCUUAAUUUGCAUCUCUUAACAAAAUGAUAGAAGAAAAUGCUCUUGAAA
Elaeis guineensis (African oil palm) is the source of this 1133-nucleotide RNA transcript. RefSeq lists it as uncharacterized. NCBI's taxonomy places the organism in Eukaryota, Viridiplantae, Streptophyta, Magnoliopsida, Arecales, Arecaceae. The record is from RefSeq and is a predicted model, not a curated record.